RNAcentral lists this microRNA (21 nucleotides) under Homo sapiens (human). RNAcentral's name for it is "hsa-miR-7113-5p". The record is from miRBase by way of RNAcentral. Lineage: Eukaryota; Metazoa; Chordata; Mammalia; Primates; Hominidae.
UCCAGGGAGACAGUGUGUGAG